AGAGAACUUAGCUUGUGCUCAAGGUUGGAAUGAGGAAAUAUAGGUCAGUGGGUGCUGGGCUCAGGGUCCACCUGGAUUCCUCUGUAGGUCUUCCUGGGUACCAGGUCAUCCNCUACUGUGGGACCCUGACAAAGUCACGUGACCACAUGGGAAUGUUGGGUUCCCUCUGUUGUAGAGAUGGAACAUGUCUAAGCAGAAAGGGAAGGAUACCACAGAGAUGGAUGGCUCUUGAAGACCAAGGACAAGCAGAUAUCAGAGCCCAGUCCAGAAGUGGCAGGGAAGUGAGGCCUGGCCCUGAUGGCUGUGCCAAGAAGAUGCGUGGUAUGGCGCACAUCUGAGUCGUGGAUCUGGUGCUUGUCGGCCUGCUCAUCUAAGAAGUCAAACAUGUACUUGAUGGCCAGAGGUAGGGCUGAGCCACGGUGCGCCGUGCUGAAGAUGGUCUCGAACAGGUCAUCCACGAACUUUUGUAGUGUUCCCUGCAGGGUGAGUAGUGAGCUUCAGGGCUGCCCAGGGCACCACCCUUCUAGGACCUGGACAGGUCUGUAGGAGCUCAGGAUUUGGUCAUGUGUUCUGGGCAUUUUCCCAUACACCUACCUUGGUGGCCAGCAGCCUGGUUAGGUAGAUCUCAGAGACCAUCUUGCUGCCACGGUCGCCUUCACGUUGGUCCAGGUGGUCGUGGUUCUUCACCAGGUGCCACAGUUUUGUUCCACUUUCCAGGUCUGGCGUGAUCAUGGGUGUUCGUGAGCGUAGGCUGUCGGGGCUACUGGCUGUACGCAGCAUGCUCUCUGCAGGAAUAGCCUGUCAGCUGGCAGGGAUGUGUCCCUCACCCAUGGCCAGACCCUGCCCUACCCCAGCCAGUUUUCCUUCAGAGGGCACCAAGGCUCCUGCUAGGUAUGUUGGGGAAUAGCCACUGUGGUCACAUGAGAUCCCUUGUUUAUAGGCUAUGAGGACAGGCAUUGCUUCAGAACUGACAGGAAGGCCAAGAACCACGAGCCACAUGUCCCCUUAGUCCUGGCAUCCAACACACUGGCAGAACAGUAGGAAGGGCAUCCCAUCCAAGUCCACUGCCCACCCACUUCCUGCUUGCAACCCUGCCGGUCCCUCACCGUAUCUGCUGAGGGACUUAGUGAAGGUAGAGGAGUUGGAGAUGUUGUAGGCAGAUGUCUGCUUGGGUACUAGUGCCACCGAUGACCCAUCCGUCACCUGUGGGCAGACAUCAAGGAUACAAGUCCCAGGGUGCCACUAAGUGUCCAGCCCAACCUGGGAGGAUCUAAAGACAUCCGUGGUUCUUCCCCUCAAGGCAAGUCAUGCCACCACUCUGAACCUCCACUGGGAUGGCUCCAGGGCAGAUAAUUACUUGGGCAUGGCACAGUCCACACCUGACGAGGCACGUUCCAGUUUAAGGGAAAGAAAGCCCACACAGUGGUCCCUGGACGGUAGCGUUACCUGAUAGUGAGCUAGUGUGUUCAGCCUCUUCCAGUCAUUGUCAAUUUUAGUGGUGACGUCCUCAUCCUGAAGAAUGAUGCGUGCCAUGCGACCCUGGCGCCACUCUACAGGAAGUAGGGUAUUAGAGGUGGGAUCCCCCUUCCUUCUCUCCCUCCUUUUCUUCCUCUCUACCUUCUAUCCAAGCUCCUCAUUCUACUGGCACAUAGAACAAGGGAGUGGGGGAAGAGAGGAAGACAGGGAGGGGCUUGCUCUGCACUUGAGGAAGAGCCUGGGAUAGAGCCAGAAGCUGAGGCUCCCCCACUGGAUAGCUACACUCACAGGCUCAGAGGUGGCAUAGUCUGCCCAUGGGGUUGGCCAUUCAUCUGGUGCCUGGUUGAGCCCAAGAGGUAGGCCCUGCUCUACCCAGGUUCCAGACAUAUCUCCUUGGGAUCCCAGAACUGUGUCCCACAUUUUUUGACUUUUGACUUUCCCCAGUGCAAAGUUCUCUUCCUUCAGCUCAGACAGCCCUGGCUUCCCAGAGAAUACCAAACUUACACCCAGCUGCUUCUCCAUGGGUCUCCUCCAUCACUCUACUCUGGCCUGCAAACCGUAGCUUAUUCUGUCACCUCCCUUGAAUGCCUUCCUACCAUAGGACAGCCCACCACUCACCCAGGUCCAUGUCCCCGGCCUUCGGCCGCUGUGAGUAAGGCACACCCUUGUACACAGCAUCCAGGAGCUUCUCCUUGACCUGGGUCACGGUGUCACAGUUCAGCCCCUUCACAGGAACCUCCGGCGCAUUCUCAUGUUCAGGGUUCACACAGUUCAGGGUCUGUGUGUGAGGAGGGUGGUAUUGUAGCACCAGUCACACCCCUCACUUCUGCCAGUCCUGUCUACUCAGUUCAGUUCACCGGAAGGGGAGGAUCCAGGAAGGGGGGGGGGCGGAGUGGUGGGUGGGCUCACCAGGGUCUUGUAGUCAAUCUGCUGCCGAAUGAGCUUGUCUUCGCUCAGAGAGUAGCGGGCCUCCCCUGUGAUGGCGUCAAUAGGGCCCUUCUCCAUCUGCUGCUUGAUGGCACAGUACAGCAUAAAGAGCGGCUCCCCAGCACACUCCUGUGUGGGGUGGUAGGGUAUGAGGCUGGGAUAGGACCUGUCAGCCCUUUAAGGGCUAUCUAGCUAUUUCCAGAAGCUCCAUCUCCUCUUGAAGGCAAGCCUGUCUCUGGAGCCAGCACCAGGCAAGGAUAUCUAGUGAGCGAUACCCCCAGUAUCCUUAUGACUGUAGACACAGAAAUCCUUGAAAUACUACCCUCACUCACACCAAGUGCGAUCGUGAUCUGCUAGAUGACUAGAGGCCAACCUAGCCAGAAGUCCAGCAUCACGAAGAACAUGCUUUCACCACAAUCACUAGCACACACACACUGACUCCUGAUGUUCCUUAUCACCAAGGGACAGAGGAACCCACAGACUGGUGGCAAGGAGAAACAGGGACUGGCAGGGUAGCCUCUGCACACUUGGCAAGAGCCUGCAUUGUCCCUACCCUCAGCUGUCAUCUGGCUUUGUGCACUGCAGGUGUGGGGCCAGAAGUAGGGCCACAUUACUCAGCAAGCUGAGCGGAGCAAAUGCUGGAGCUCAGGCUGGUCCCAUGGCCCUGAAGGCCCACCCCUGACUGUAGCAGUCACUCCUCACAGAGGCUGCUGGCUGAGAAUGCCUAGGCCAGAGGCUAGCCCAGGUGGGCCCUUGGCAAGCCCAUGGUGACUCUGUACCCAGAUGUCCUAGCCCCUUGUUAGCAUCUGAGGCAAUUAAAGAGACAGCUGCUAAGGAAGGAACAGCCAGGAGCAUAGAUCAUCCCUAGACCUUCAGACAACACGCCUAUCUUUGAAAUUAUGUUUCAUUUGCAAACUUGGCUUCAUUAAGUCAGCUAGGAAGUGGGAGGGAGGGGGAGCAGGUUGGGACUCAGAGCCAUCAAUAGCUGCCUGUUUUGGCAAACACUCCCUCAUAAGGUUUCCCCAAGUUAGAAUGCCUGCCCAUAGGUUCCUGAGCAGAGUAAAAGGAGCAGAGGGGGCAGGCCAGUGCCCAAGCCUUGGAUGCAGACUUGCCCAACCCUAAUGCUUCUGCCCCAGGAAAGCCAGGGCUUCUGAGAGAAAGCUCAGACCCAGAAGGACCUGAAGGCCUGGACUAUCACUUUCACCAGGCUUUCCAAGACGGUGAAAGAGCAGUCAGAGCCCAGAGCCCAGGGAAGAGGCGGGCCCAGAACAAAGCAGACCUAAGCCUAAGGGCUCUCUCUCUCUGGGCCUCAUUUCCCUGUCCCAUUACAGGGGAAAGGUAGGGCCCCAGCUUCCUGUCAACCCUGCUGAGAAGGUGUAGAGAAUAGUUCUUUCAUAGAGAGGCAACAGAGCAGAGGAGCAUGGCAGUAAAUGAAGCAGGGCACCAGCUUUCCAUCUUCAAGGAAAGCCAAAGUUAACCCCUACCCAUACCAUGCACUUCACCUGUAGCAUAAACACUACAGAUGAUGGAACGUUGGUAUUUAAAAUACCACCCCCCACCCCUUUACCAAACUAAAAAAAAAAAGAACCCUAGAAAAUAUACAAUUGUGGCUUCAAAGAAAAUGAAGGUGGCUAGUCAAGCAAGUUGUUUAACUUGUAGAAUAAACGGCAGUCAAGGAAGCGUGCUGUCCGUACUCAUGCACAUCUCCAGGGAUGGUAUCACAGCACCCAGGCCAGGAAGGCUCUAAGUCAGCAGAGCUUAUGCUGCAAAUGAGGAUGCACCUGUACUCAUUCUGGAAGCCCUCACAGCUCCAGCAGAAGGCUGCUGUGUUGGGGAGAAUUCACAUUCCCCUAACACCUCUGCCAGUGUGACAGAGGACAGUGAAAGUGACAUUACUGUGUGCCACCUGAAGACAUGGGCCUAACCCUCCUGGGGUGGGGUACUAGGACCCUCUGUGAAAAUCACUGAGGGUAGGGGGUGAACUUCGGACCAGCACGUCAGUACAACCAGAACUCAAGACAAAAAAUGUGAACAAAACCUGUUCCUCUACCUGUAGACAUUUGCUUCCACUCAGGUCAGUGACCCACACUGGAUAGUGAUGGCUGUGACCACCAGAGCUGGGGCCCUGCCCCCUUACCUCACAUUGUUGACAGUGUAGUGACAGGCAGGCAGAACUACCUCCCUCAUACAUUCUAGUCCCAUGCAUCUGUGAGCAGGGGAUGGGCUCAGAUCCUGCCCAAGUGCAGACUCAUGAGAACACCAUGCAUUCUGCUUUCUUUCCCUUCUGUUCUCCCCAGGCAAACUGAGCUGUGUAUGUGGGAUGGCUAUGCUGGCCAGGCAGGGCGAUUCUCAUUCUAGGAAGGGUCUGCUCAUGCUUCUCAGAGAGUUCUCAUGGCUUAACACACCUGCAUUUCUAGUUGUCCAUUACAUACUGUGUGCUGUAGUUGACUACAAGCGACUGACCCGAAGGAAAGCACAGUAGCAGUGCAGGCCACACACCUGGGUCAAACCAGCCAGCAAUGCAAGGUCUUCAUGGAUAAUUCUGCUUAGAGGGCAUCCCCACAUCAGUCAAAUUCAGAGGCAGAGAUGAUAAAGGUGGUACGGUGGAGGGAGAGAAGAGGGACAAGGAGUGUACCAUGAAGACAAGACCAACGGUGCAGAAGAUGUUGACAAGGGCUGCACUUUACAGAUGUACUAACUCUAGUGACUUGUACACACGCCAGAGGCUGAAGCACGAAGGUCAUGAGUUCCAGGACAGCCUGGGCUAUCUAGGGAGACCUUGUCUCAAAUAGUAAGAUAAGGGUUGGUGAGAUAACUCAGCAAGUAAAGAAGCCUGCUGCCAACUCUGCCAACUUGACUCUGAUCCCUGGGACCCACAUGGUGAAAGGAGAGAACCCACUCCUGCAAGUUGUCCUCCCACUUCUGCGUGUGCAUUGUGGUAGACACCCACAUAAUAAAGAAAAAAAUGUAAUUUC
RNAcentral lists this long non-coding RNA (5378 nucleotides) under Mus caroli (Ryukyu mouse). Its description in RNAcentral is "predicted gene, 26811 (MGP_CAROLIEiJ_G0003901.1)". Lineage: Eukaryota; Metazoa; Chordata; Mammalia; Rodentia; Muridae. The record is from RNAcentral.